This 469-nucleotide ribosomal RNA is filed under the name uncultured bacterium. RNAcentral's name for it is "bacterial SSU rRNA". It matches the Rfam family "Bacterial small subunit ribosomal RNA", at positions 34 to 498 of the family's 1533-position model. The record is from RNAcentral.
CGCUGGCGGCAUGCCUUACACAUGCAAGUCGAACGGCAGCACGGAGCUUGCUCUGGUGGCGAGUGGCGAACGGGUGAGUAAUAUAUCGGAACGUACCCAGGAGUGGGGGAUAACGUAGCGAAAGUUACGCUAAUACCGCAUACGUCCUAAGGGAGAAAGUGGGGGCUCGCAAGACCUCAUGCUCAUGGAGCGGCCGAUAUCUGAUUAGCUAGUUGGUGAGGUAAAGGCUCACCAAGGCAACGAUCAGUAGCUGGUCUGAGAGGACGACCAGCCACACUGGAACUGAGACACGGUCCAGACUCCUACGGGAGGCAGCAGUGGGGAAUUUUGGACAAUGGGGGCAACCCUGAUCCAGCAAUGCCGCGUGAGUGAAGAAGGCCUUCGGGUUGUAAAGCUCUUUUGUCAGGGAAGAAAAGGGAUUGGCUAAUAUCUGAUCCUCAUGACGGUACCUGAAGAAUAAGCACCGGCU